CACUGCUUAUAUGGUAGAGCACUUGAAGAAUUUGCAAGGGUUUUACGUUUUUUUAGUAAAGAAAUGCAAGAAUGCCUAUGGUUUUGCACUGAUUUCAAUUAUCAGAAGGCCAUUUCAUACUUCGGAAGUUUCAAAGACAAGUUUCAGUGCUCAUAUGUGGCAGACCUCCAGGUUUUGCCUGGCAGCAGCUGGGCAGAUUUUGGGUUCUGAUUGCCUCCUUUAAAGUGGACAGCUUGAACUAAGAAUACACAUUGGCAGAUGAAACACAACUGGUUUCUCUUCAGGUCUAUCAAUUUAGAUUCAAAAACUACCAGUGCUGCAGAAGUUAUUACAACAGUAUUAUGCAGAAGGAAAUUAGCUACAAGAUGGGGAAUUGACCUGAUUUCUGCCGCUUCAUAUUGCAAUUCUUCCUAUUCAUUUAAGAUCUGUAAUAAUAAUUGUGUGGUCC
This is a non-coding RNA of Sturnus vulgaris (Common starling), 448 nucleotides long. NCBI's taxonomy places the organism in Eukaryota, Metazoa, Chordata, Aves, Passeriformes, Sturnidae. The record is from RefSeq and is a predicted model, not a curated record.